This is an unclassified non-coding RNA of Callithrix jacchus (white-tufted-ear marmoset), 300 nucleotides long. It matches the Rfam family "Metazoan signal recognition particle RNA". Rfam says of the family: The signal recognition particle (SRP) is a universally conserved ribonucleoprotein. It is involved in the co-translational targeting of proteins to membranes. The record is from Ensembl. NCBI's taxonomy places the organism in Eukaryota, Metazoa, Chordata, Mammalia, Primates, Cebidae.
GCCGGGCGUGGUGGCGCGUGCCUGUAGUCCCAGCUACUCAGGAGGCUGAGGUGGGAGGAUCGCUUGAGCCCAGGAGUUCUGGGCUGUAGUGCGCUAUGCCGAUCGGGUGUCUGCACUAAGGUCGGCAUCAAUAUGGUGACCUCCCGGGAGUGGGGGACCACCAGGUUGCCUAAGAAGGGGUGAACUGGCCCAGGUCAGACACGGAGCAGGUCAAAACUCCCAUACUGAUCAGUAGUGGGAUCACGGCUGUGAAUAGCCACUGCACUCCAGCCUGGGCAACAUAGCAAGACCCCGUCUCUU